This 422-nucleotide ribosomal RNA is filed under the name uncultured bacterium. RNAcentral describes it as "bacterial SSU rRNA". It matches the Rfam family "Bacterial small subunit ribosomal RNA", at positions 355 to 774 of the family's 1533-position model. The record is from RNAcentral.
UGAGGAAUAUUGGGCAAUGCCCGCAAGGGUGACCCAGCAACGCCGCGUGGAGGAUGAAUGUCGUAAGAUUGUAAACUCCUGUUAGAGGGGAAGAAUAGUACCGGUUGGACCGGUAUAUGACUGUACCCUCAGAGAAAGCCCCGGCUAACUACGUGCCAGCAGCCGCGGUAAUACGUAGGGGGCAAGCGUUGUCCGGAUUUACUGGGUGUAAAGGGCGCGCAGGCGGGAUAAAAAGUCAGUGGUGAAAUCCUACAGCUUAACUGUAGAACUGCCUUUGAUACUUUUAUCCUUGAGUUCGGGAGAGAGAGACGGAAUUCCAGGUGUAGUGGUGAAAUACGUAGAUAUCUGGAAGAACACCAGUUGCGAAGGCGGUCUCUUGGUCCGACACUGACGCUGAGGCGCGAAAGCGUGGGGAGCAAACA